GGCUAACUUCAUUAAAAGGUUCUUCAUACCAAGAACCGAGCACUGGACCCACGCUCAGGAGACUGUCAGCUGCUCUUCCUGGGUGUGCACACCAGCCACUGUGGCAAAAGGCUGGUGUGACAGGAAGAGGCCUGCAACCCGGCUCUACUUCCUCCAGCCCUAUUUGACUGCACAAGUCAGCUUCUCAGAGGAGCUUCUCAGAGCUCCAGUUCCCUCUCCUCAAAGCGGAAAGGUACAGCACGGUGCUGGGAGCCAGGGCAACGCUCACCAGCUCAGCAGUGGGCUGGCUCUUGCCUGGCCUCCUUGGCACCAUGCCCACGCGCAUGGGCAGCGCACUGGCCUUCCCUGCCUUAAUUCCCUCUUGAUGCUUGGUGGUCAAAUGGCCUCAACUUCCCUGUCCAGUCAGCCUAAUGGAAAAGGACAAGCAAAGGAAAUCCAGCACACCUCCGAGGUAGUCAGGUGCACGAACGGUAGUGGCAGACUGCAAUCUCUGGUCCCACUUCCACGUUCUCCCUGAACCGCGCCUCACGCCUGCCACCUCUGCAGUUCCGGCUCACUUCCUCACUGGGGACUCUGGGUGGCCACGUGACCUGCUCUGGACGACUGACAAGCAGAGGCUUGCCCUGCGCCUGGCAUCUCUGCCUCAGCCACAGGAGAUGGGGAGCCCUGGAGAAGCCCCAGACUAGAGACGCAGGCCGAAGCAAAGCCCCUCCACCAUGCCUGGCAGUGCCUGGUGGGUGUAAGAAUAAAUGAUUGUUGGUUUAAGCCCCUGAGUUUGGGGAUGAUUUGUUACAUGGCAGCAUAUGGCACUAAUUGACUCUGCUCUGCAUUUCAAAGGCAAAUUAAAUAGCUUCCUCUGUACCUAGAGAUUUGGGACUAAAAGUACACAAAAUAUCAAAUGGAUACCCUCCAAAAGCUUUAUAUAUAAAGAACACUCAUUCAGAAGGAAGAAGUUUAAAAUUAGAGAUAAUUUCAAACACAUCCUUUUUAAGACAGUGUAUUUCUUAGAAAUGAGUACUUAACAGGAUUAUAGUAUUAAAUUUUAUGCAUUUAAUAUCUUCUCCAUAACUGUUAUGUCUAGUAAUUAAGCCAAACCAUAUGUAUAUUCAAACAUCUUAAUCUCUAAUCAAACUUACACACUAAAGAAUUAAGACAAAAUGACUAAUUAUUUGGCAAAGCACUGAUCCUUUUAAAUCUGUUUACACACACUUCUACUACUUCUGCUACAGUAUGGAGACUUUAAAAAUGAGCUUCUCUAAGGCUGCCUCAAAAGAAAGGAAAUGUUUCCACUAGCAUGACCCUACCAUUUUUUUUUUUGUUUGUUUGUUUUCUGGUACUGGGAAUCGAACUCACGACCUUGUGCUUGCCAGGCAGGGGCUGUGCUGCUGAGCUAAAUCCCUGGCCCCCCACCCUAUCAUUUAACACAUGGUAAACUGUAGGUACAACAAAUAAAGAAAUCUGAUCAGAUGACCAAAAAUCUGAGUAAGUAUUAAGCCAGAAACUCAAACUAACAUUGAGAUCUCUGUAUCAUUACUAUUCCUAUUAAAAUAAUUACUUACAAUCCCUUUUCCUUCUUAGAAAUUUCAGGCAAUAUUACAUAUAAUGUUAAACUUUUUAUGCAUAGACAAUUUUUAGAAGUUUCUAGAAAAAAGACAAGCCAGAGCAAACAAAUUCAACUCUGUGCAUUGUGCAGCAAUUCCCAAAUCACUCAUUACAGAAAUAUCUAAUUGCUACUGCAUGCAACAAUAAACCCUCACAGCAAUUUGUUACAAUGUACUUUAGCCUUGCUCAGUUAUCCAUGGUAGGAUUUUAGAGGAACAAGUGACUUUACACCAAAUAUAAAUACUUCUUGAUGAGCUACAAAGCAUUAUGCCACUCCUGGCUUUCCACAACACACGGCAUACCACAUUGCUUCACUCCUUUUGUAUGGCAUGCGUCUAGAACACCUGCAUAUAAACUAACAGCCAUGCUGUGGUGACCAGGACAGAUGUGCAGGAUUUCUACCACUUCCAUCACCACCUUCCGUCACUCAGCCGGACCCAGUGCUCACAUCCAGUAUAGCAAGUGAAGGGGCACCUGGAUGUCUCGUGCCCAGGCAGUGCAGGGAUCCUGAAUCCUUGGUCAAUUCUGGCCUCAAGAUUGCUACAAUUCAACAGUUUGUGAACACAUUUCUAAAAGGUUUUUUGGAAUAUUGCCAGGAGUAAAGAACAGUCCCAAGCUCCAUCUCUCUGCUUGAAGCUGGCUGUUUUCCCCCUUCUAACUGGUAAUUAAGAAAAUGUCCUAAUGCAUUUUAAGGGAAAGGAAGCAUAUACAUAUUUUGCUUGAAGCUAAGGCAUUUUCUCCAGGGACACACACUGGAAUGUACAAUACAAGUUAUUAACAAAGUGUGAUUCACCCAUAAUAAUUCAUUUUAUAAACAACUUCCACAUUCAGACAUUAGAGAUACCCAAAGGUACCCGGUAACAUUCUUUACCAUUCCAGAUUAAUGUUUUUGAAGAGUCUUAAGAGAAUACUUCAUGCAGUUAAGAGUAUAAACGUUUGAUUAAAAACCAACAAGGAUGUCCAUUAUUAUUUUAUUCAAUACUGUUAAAAAAAGUUCUAGCAUACUCAAUAAAAUUGAAACGUAAAUAUGAAGUAUUAACUGUUGUGAAAGAAGAUACAACAAUAAUUAAAACAACAUGCUCAGCACAGCAGCACCUGCCUAUAAUCCUAGCUACUCAGGAGCUGAGGCUGGAAAGCAAGUUCAAGGCCAGCCUGGGCAAUUCAGCAAGACUCUGUCUCAAAAUAAAAAAACGGUUGGAACUUAAUUCAGUGGUAGGUUGUUUGUGCCCUAGGGUCAAUCCCUGGUACUGAAAAAAAUGAAAUGAAACAAUGUAUUACUUAAGAACACAAUCAAAAGCAAACAAAAUACAAAAAAAAAAAAAAAAAGAACACAAUCACAAGCUAAUGGAACAGAAGAAAAUAUCUGGGCAAUAGACCCUUGGGUAAAUACUCAAGUAAUGGAGAAAGGACCACUAUUCAAUGAAAGAGAAACUAAUCAUUCAAUCAACUGUGGUGGAGAAGCUGAAGUUACUACGAAAGAAAAGAGUCCACAGCUGCACCUUGCACUGCACCACAAAAUGCUCUCCAAGAUACUCAAAAGAUAAACAUCAUGAAAUUAAGGAACACACCAUCUUAUUCCUGGAUCAGGAGCAAUGUUCUAAAUGUAAAAGCAGGGCUGGCACAGGUGAAUGCAAGUCUGGAAUUUCUAGAAUUCUAAAAUUAUAAAACUACACAUUUAACAAAGUUAGAGCAAAAUAUUGGCAAUCACAUGACAAAAACAUACAUCUUUAAUAGGUAAGUGUUUUUACAAAUAAAGGAAAAAAUAUAUAAACAUCCGCAUAGGUAUGUAACAGAAAAAAUGGGCAAAGAACAAUUCACAGAGGAAACAAAUGACAACAUCUAGCGGACACUUUUUUAAAGUGUUCGAUCUCAUCAGUGAUUUUUUAAAUGCAUUAUUUCCAAACUCAUUGUCAAAUUCUACUCACAGGACACAGUACCCUAGUACCCCGACAAAAAGGUUAACUGGCCCAAUCUUUGCACAAAAUAAUUCAGCAACACACAUCAACACCACUAUGAAAGGACAGAGGUACUCAGUAAUUCUAACCUGAGGAAGCCAUCCUAACGACGUAAUUUUGACAUGAAAGCCAAGUUUUAUACACGAAGACAUCCAUGAUGUAAUUAUUAUAGCGGCAAAAGAUAGUAAAUAACAAAAAUUACCAAGGGAUUAAAUAAGUUUAUGGAAAUUUUGUUUGUUUGGUUUUUUUGUUAUUGUUGUUGCAAUGUUGGGAUCAAACCCAGGACCCUAUGAAUGCCUGGCAAGCAAUGUGCCACCAAGUGUAUCACACCCUCAGUCCAGUAAGGGUUCAUCAGAGUGUACAUCUCUACAUGAUAACUUCAUUUUACCUCCAAUUCUUAAGAACAAUGAGAGCAGAUUAUGAGAACCAAAGAAUAUAAAAGAUACACAGCAUCUUCAAUAUGUUAAGAAAUUUAAUAUUCACAGAAAAAAACUGUAGUAAAUAAACCAAGAUAUUAACAGUGGUUGUCUGCACUGAUUUGACUUGUAAUUUUU
This is a long non-coding RNA of Chinchilla lanigera (long-tailed chinchilla), 4111 nucleotides long. NCBI's taxonomy places the organism in Eukaryota, Metazoa, Chordata, Mammalia, Rodentia, Chinchillidae. The record is from Ensembl.